AGAGUUUGAUCCUGGCUCAGAUUGAACGCUGGCGGCAUGCUUUACACAUGCAAGUCGGACGGCAGCACAGAGAAGCUUGCUUCUUGGGUGGCGAGUGGCGAACGGGUGAGUAACAUAUCGGAACGUACCGAGUAGUGGGGGAUAACUGAUCGAAAGAUCAGCUAAUACCGCAUACGUCUUGAGAGGGAAAGCAGGGGACCUUCGGACCUUGCGCUAUUCGAGCGGCCGAUAUCUGAUUAGCUAGUUGGUGGGGUAAAGGCCUACCAAGGCGACGAUCAGUAGCGGGUCUGAGAGGAUGAUCCGCCACACUGGGACUGAGACACGGCCCAGACUCCUACGGGAGGCAGCAGUGGGGAAUUUUGGACAAUGGGCGCAAGCCUGAUCCAGCCAUGCCGCGUGUCUGAAGAAGGCCUUCGGGUUGUAAAGGACUUUUGUCAGGGAAGAAAAGGCUGUUGCUAAUAUCAGCGGCUGAUGACGGUACCUGAAGAAUAAGCACCGGCUAACUACGUGCCAGCAGCCGCGGUAAUACGUAGGGUGCGAGCGUUAAUCGGAAUUACUGGGCGUAAAGCGGGCGCAGACGGUUACUUAAGCAGGAUGUGAAAUCCCCGGGCUCAACCCGGGAACUGCGUUCUGAACUGGGUGACUCGAGUGUGUCAGAGGGAGGUAGAAUUCCACGUGUAGCAGUGAAAUGCGUAGAGAUGUGGAGGAAUACCGAUGGCGAAGGCAGCCUCCUGGGAUAACACUGACGUUCAUGCCCGAAAGCGUGGGUAGCAAACAGGAUUAGAUACCCUGGUAGUCCACGCCCUAAACGAUGUCAAUUAGCUGUUGGGCAACUUGAUUGCUUGGUAGCGUAGCUAACGCGUGAAAUUGACCGCCUGGGGAGUACGGUCGCAAGAUUAAAACUCAAAGGAAUUGACGGGGACCCGCACAAGCGGUGGAUGAUGUGGAUUAAUUCGAUGCAACGCGAAGAACCUUACCUGGUCUUGACAUGUACGGAAUCCUCCAGAGACGGAGGAGUGCCUUCGGGAGCCGUAACACAGGUGCUGCAUGGCUGUCGUCAGCUCGUGUCGUGAGAUGUUGGGUUAAGUCCCGCAACGAGCGCAACCCUUGUCAUUAGUUGCCAUCAUUCGGUUGGGCACUCUAAUGAGACUGCCGGUGACAAGCCGGAGGAAGGUGGGGAUGACGUCAAGUCCUCAUGGCCCUUAUGACCAGGGCUUCACACGUCAUACAAUGGUCGGUACAGAGGGUAGCCAAGCCGCGAGGUGGAGCCAAUCUCACAAAACCGAUCGUAGUCCGGAUUGCACUCUGCAACUCGAGUGCAUGAAGUCGGAAUCGCUAGUAAUCGCAGGUCAGCAUACUGCGGUGAAUACGUUCCCGGGUCUUGUACACACCGCCCGUCACACCAUGGGAGUGGGGGAUACCAGAAGUGGGUAGGAUAACCGCAAGGGGUCCGCUUACCACGGUAUGCUUCAUGACUGGGGUGAAGUCGUAACAAGGUAGCCGUAGGGGAACCUGCGGCUGGAUCACCU
RNAcentral lists this ribosomal RNA (1529 nucleotides) under Neisseria polysaccharea ATCC 43768. RNAcentral's name for it is "bacterial SSU rRNA". It matches the Rfam family "Bacterial small subunit ribosomal RNA". The record is from RNAcentral. Lineage: Bacteria; Pseudomonadati; Pseudomonadota; Betaproteobacteria; Neisseriales; Neisseriaceae.